CCCCCCCCCCCAACUUUCUUCCCCCGUGGGUUCCUCCCCAAUCAGCACCACAAGCCUCGGCGUGCACCUGCCCCUUCCCACCUCUCCGUCGAUCUGGCCCGCUUUCCGGUUUGAAUCCGAGCCGUGGCUCGUGACGUCACGUGCGUCCUGAUCCGCGGGCCAGAAAACAUGCUUUCCGGUUAGGUCGACGGUGGCCGAGUAAAUGCGAUGGGCAAGCGGGUCUCCCUGGUUCAGUUGGUCGGCUGCGGAGGCUGAGCUCGGUGCCAUUCGAUGCGUACGAAGGAGAGGAAAACGAUCCUUGAAUAUGGAGUUUCUCUUGCAGUUGAUUAAGAGAAGAACCAUCAUGGUUCCUGGAGGAGGUUAAUGCCAACGAGAUUCCGAUUGAGCUUCUGCAGUAUCCAGUACUAGCACCUGCACCAGAAUUGCCUGCGCAGUUGUCAAUGGAGGAGCUGCUGCCUUGGCGGCGAACAUCGGCGGGGGUCAAAUCUGUGUGGCGGUGGGGGUGGCGGACGGUGAAAUUGCACUCUAAUAGACGCAAGCUUCAGAAUAGUCUGAGUAGAUCGGCCCAAAAGCGCCUAGAUGGACACAAAGGUUUGGAGUCAUCGUGUUAGUUCAGAAUUUUUUUCAGAAAGUUUUUGGUGUCGUACAAGAGUGCAAGGAUGAUGGGAUGAGUGCAGUGCGUGGCAACAUGAAAAAUGUAGAUAAAACAGUGUUGGUCAGAUGGAUAUUCAAUCUCUGCACCCCUGAAAAUACAGAGAACAUAUUCAUAUUCUGGCCGUUUUGAAAUAGUUCAGAUGUGUAUGUUGUCUGUUGCA
This is a long non-coding RNA of Triticum urartu, 815 nucleotides long. RefSeq lists it as uncharacterized. The record is from RefSeq and is a predicted model, not a curated record. NCBI's taxonomy places the organism in Eukaryota, Viridiplantae, Streptophyta, Magnoliopsida, Poales, Poaceae.